Molecule: non-coding RNA, 144 nt
Filed under: Ignavibacteria bacterium
Lineage: Bacteria; Pseudomonadati; Ignavibacteriota; Ignavibacteria
Description: MoCo sequence
Rfam family: Molybdenum/Tungsten riboswitch aptamer (Moco RNA motif)
Source: RNAcentral
AAAUAAUUAAUUCUCCGAGCUUUAUUCCCUAAAGAUCAGUUUAGAUUUAUGGGAAGAAAGCCGAUGGGUUUGAUGAGAAAUCAUCAAGCCUCCCACGUCCUGAUAUAUCAGGACAAAUUGGAAAGGAGAGGUUGAACUUGAAGG